CGGUGGAGGCGGGGUCCUAGGCUAUGUGCCCGGUGCCUGUACUCCCGGGCCUGUGCUGUUGAAUUAAUGCUCUGGGCCGUGCAUCCCCCU
RNAcentral lists this microRNA precursor (90 nucleotides) under Canis lupus familiaris (dog). Its description in RNAcentral is "mir-8799 microRNA precursor family". It matches the Rfam family "mir-8799 microRNA precursor family". RNAcentral also lists the same sequence under 1 other name. Lineage: Eukaryota; Metazoa; Chordata; Mammalia; Carnivora; Canidae. The record is from Rfam by way of RNAcentral.